This 253-nucleotide ribosomal RNA is filed under the name uncultured bacterium. RNAcentral describes it as "partial 16S ribosomal RNA". It matches the Rfam family "Bacterial small subunit ribosomal RNA", at positions 524 to 776 of the family's 1533-position model. The record is from RNAcentral.
UACGGGGGGAGCAAACGUUGUUCGGAUUCAUUGGGCGUAAAGGGUGCGUAGGCGGCGCGGUAAGUCGGGUGUGAAAUCUCGGAGCUUAACUCCGAAACUGCAUUCGAUACUGCCGUGCUUGAGGACUGGAGAGGAGACUGGAAUUUACGGUGUAGCGGUGAAAUGCGUAGAUAUCGUAAGGAAGACCAGUGGCGAAGGCGGGUCUCUGGACAGUUCCUGACGCUGAGGAGCGAAAGCGUGGGGAGCGAACAGG